RNAcentral lists this ribosomal RNA (429 nucleotides) under Chloroflexota bacterium. RNAcentral describes it as "Chloroflexi bacterium partial 16S ribosomal RNA". It matches the Rfam family "Bacterial small subunit ribosomal RNA", at positions 355 to 776 of the family's 1533-position model. The record is from RNAcentral. Lineage: Bacteria; Bacillati; Chloroflexota.
UGGGGAAUAUUGCACAAUGGGCGCAAGCCUGAUGCAGCCAUGCCGCGUGUAUGAAGAAGGCCUUCGGGUUGUAAAGUACUUUCAGCGGGGAGGAAGGGAGUAAAGUUAAUACCUUUGCUCAUUGACGUUACCCGCAGAAGAAGCACCGGCUAACUCCGUGCCAGCAGCCGCGGUAAUACGGAGGGUGCAAGCGUUAAUCGGAAUUACUGGGCGUAAAGCGCACGCAGGCGGUUUGUUAAGUCAGAUGUGAAAUCCCCGGGCUCAACUUGGGAACUGCAUCUGAUACUGGCAAGCUUGAGUCUCGUAGAGGGGGGUAGAAUUCCAGGUGUAGCGGUGAAAUGCGUAGAGAUCUGGAGGAAUACCGGUGGCGAAGGCGGCCCCCUGGACGAAGACUGACGCUCAGGUGCGAAAGCGUGGGGAGCAAACAGG